Long non-coding RNA from Marmota monax (woodchuck), 623 nucleotides. RefSeq lists it as uncharacterized. The transcript is spliced from 3 exons. The record is from RefSeq and is a predicted model, not a curated record. Lineage: Eukaryota; Metazoa; Chordata; Mammalia; Rodentia; Sciuridae.
UCUAGGCUAAGGAUUCCCAGGUGGCUCUCCCUUGGCUUUCAGGGACUUCCUAGAUGGGUGAGGAGUGCAGCUUCCGUGGUCAUCACCAGGAAGCCCAAGGGUUGCAGGCUUUCCCACAAUCAACCAACCAGGCACGUGUCCGACCCCGCUGGCCCCGUGUACACCAGGUCCGACAGCGCCGGCGGCACCAAUGAUGUAGACCCACCGUUUUCCUGCACAGGUGUUCACCAGCGAAAUUCUGCUUUCCAAUCCAAAUCACGGAAAACACCUAGGAAAAGUUCGUUACUAUACUCUUGAAUGCAUCAAUGUCCAUUGGAGGUUAACCUGAGUUCCCCUGCCCAGUGGCUGAUUCCAAAGGGGAUGAAAACAGAACCUUCAAAGUCCUAAGACCUUCAAGUCCCACAGCACCACCCUGAUUCUACCAGUCAAAGCAAGUCACACCCAGAAUCAAGGGGUGGGAAAACAGAUUUCCCCUCUUGCUGCAAAAAUAGUAAAGGUUAUGCAGGCAGAAGGAGUUGUUGUGGACAUCUUCAGGAAUAAUUCAUCUAAUAUAGAGUUCAAGAUUAAAAAAAAAUUUUAAAUGAGCUUAACAAUCAUGGUAAUGAUAAUAAUAUCACCAGUGA